RNAcentral lists this ribosomal RNA (496 nucleotides) under uncultured bacterium. RNAcentral describes it as "partial 16S ribosomal RNA". It matches the Rfam family "Bacterial small subunit ribosomal RNA", at positions 28 to 506 of the family's 1533-position model. The record is from RNAcentral.
GAUGAACGCUGGCGGCGUGCCUAAUACAUGCAAGUCGAGCGAACGGACGAGAAGCUUGCUUUUCUGAUGUUAGCGGCGGACGGGUGAGUAACACGUGGAUAACCUACCUAUAAGACUGGGAUAACUUCGGGAAACCGGAGCUAAUACCGGAUAAUAUUUUGAACCGCAUGGUUCAAAAGUGAAAGACGGUCUUGCUGUCACUUAUAGAUGGAUCCGCGCUGCAUUAGCUAGUUGGUAAGGUAACGGCUUACCAAGGCAACGAUGCAUAGCCGACCUGAGAGGGUGAUCGGCCACACUGGAACUGAGACACGGUCCAGACUCCUACGGGAGGCAGCAGUAGGGAAUCUUCCGCAAUGGGCGAAAGCCUGACGGAGCAACGCCGCGUGAGUGAUGAAGGUCUUCGGAUCGUAAAACUCUGUUAUUAGGGAAGAACAUACGUGUAAGUAACUGUGCACAUCUUGACGGUACCUAAUCAGAAAGCCACGGCUAACUACGU